This 497-nucleotide ribosomal RNA is filed under the name uncultured bacterium. Its description in RNAcentral is "partial 16S ribosomal RNA". It matches the Rfam family "Bacterial small subunit ribosomal RNA", at positions 28 to 507 of the family's 1533-position model. The record is from RNAcentral.
GAUGAACGCUGGCGGCGUGCCUAAUACAUGCAAGUCGAGCGAACAGACGAGGAGCUUGCUCCUCUGACGUUAGCGGCGGACGGGUGAGUAACACGUGGAUAACCUACCUAUAAGACUGGGAUAACUUCGGGAAACCGGAGCUAAUACCGGAUAAUAUAUUGAACCGCAUGGUUCAAUAGUGAAAGACGGUUUUGCUGUCACUUAUAGAUGGAUCCGCGCCGCAUUAGCUAGUUGGUAAGGUAACGGCUUAUCAAGGCAACGAUGCGUAGCCGACCUGAGAGGGUGAUCGGCCACACUGGAACUGAGACACGGUCCAGACUCCUACGGGAGGCAGCAGUAGGGAAUCUUCCGCAAUGGGCGAAAGCCUGACGGAGCAACGCCGCGUGAGUGAUGAAGGUCUUCGGAUCGUAAAACUCUGUUAUUAGGGAAGAACGAAUGUGUAAGUAACUAUGCACGUCUUGACGGUACCUAAUCAGAAAGCCACGGCUAACUACGUG